GUGCCAGCCGCCGCGGUAAUACGAAGGGUGCAAGCGUUACUCGGAAUUACUGGGCGUAAAGCGUGCGUAGGUGGUUUGUUAAGUCUGAUGUGAAAGCCCUGGGCUCAACCUGGGAAUUGCAUUGGAUACUGGCAGGCUAGAGUGCGGUAGAGGGUAGUGGAAUUCCCGGUGUAGCAGUGAAAUGCGUAGAGAUCGGGAGGAACAUCCGUGGCGAAGGCGACUACCUGGACCAGCACUGACACUGAGGCACGAAAGCGUGGGGAGCAAACAGGAUUAGAUACCCCAGUAGUCC
RNAcentral lists this ribosomal RNA (292 nucleotides) under uncultured bacterium. Its description in RNAcentral is "partial 16S ribosomal RNA". It matches the Rfam family "Bacterial small subunit ribosomal RNA", at positions 505 to 796 of the family's 1533-position model. The record is from RNAcentral.